CCUCAUGUUCUUGGCAGGCCCCGGCCGCCCCGUGCCCGGGUCUGUGAUGUCCGGAGGUAGAGCAGCGACUCUUUCACGGGCACCCCCUUGUCGUGGGGAAAGAG
This 104-nucleotide small nucleolar RNA is filed under the name Buceros rhinoceros silvestris. RNAcentral's name for it is "Small nucleolar RNA SNORA57". It matches the Rfam family "Small nucleolar RNA SNORA57". Rfam says of the family: U99 belongs to the H/ACA class of snoRNAs which are thought to guide the sites of modification of uridines to pseudouridines, the target for this family is unknown. Lineage: Eukaryota; Metazoa; Chordata; Aves; Bucerotiformes; Bucerotidae. The record is from Rfam by way of RNAcentral.